GUGGAGCAUGUGGUUUAAUUUGAAGAUACACGGAAAACCUUACCCACUCUUGACAUCCUUCGCAAAGCUAUAGAGAUAUAGUGGAGGUUAUCGGAGUGACAGAUGGUGCAUGGUUGUCGUCAGCUCGUGUCGUGAGAUGUUUGGUCAAGUCCUGCAACGAGCGCAACCCCUAUCUUUAGUUACUAACAUUAAGUUGAGGACUCUAGAGAUACUGCCUGGGUAACUGGGAGGAAGGUGGGGAUGACGUCAAAUCAUCAUGCCUCUUACGAGUGGGGCCACACACGUGCUACAAUGGUCGGUACAAAGAGAAGCAAUAUGGCGACAUGGAGCAAAUCUCAAAAAGCCGAUCUCAGUUCGGAUUGGAGUCUGCAAUUCGACUCCAUGAAGUCGGAAUCGCUAGUAAUCGCAGAUCAGCUAUGCUGCGGUGAAUACGUUCUCGGGUCUUGUACACCCCGCCCGUCCCACCAUGGGAGCUGGUAAUGCCCAAAGUCGGUUUGCUAACCUCGGAGGCGACCGCCUAAGGUAGGACUGGUGACUGGGGUGAAGUCGUAACAAGGUAUCCCUACGAGAACGUGGGGAUGGAUCACCUCCUUUCUACGGAG
This 602-nucleotide ribosomal RNA is filed under the name Lactobacillus crispatus. RNAcentral describes it as "bacterial SSU rRNA". It matches the Rfam family "Bacterial small subunit ribosomal RNA", at positions 932 to 1533 of the family's 1533-position model. Lineage: Bacteria; Bacillati; Bacillota; Bacilli; Lactobacillales; Lactobacillaceae. The record is from RNAcentral.